UUCUGCAGGCAGCAGCUGCCCUCGAAGGGCUUCCCUGCAGGCAAGAGAGGGGCACUGGAGGCAGCCAGCAUGGGGCCCACAGGCCAGAGGCUCCUGAAGGCCCCUGCACCAGAAGACCCAGCCCCCUCAGUAUAGGGUUCCCACAUGGGCCCCAGAGCCCAGCCUAGGGCAGGAGUGGGGCAGGUCUGCUGAACUCUCCCCGCACCGCUCUAUUCUCCCCUAUGGUCCACUUCCACAGUAAGGGGAGAGGAACCCACAUUUAUCGAGCACUCACACUAUACACCAGACGUUGUGCCAGGCACUUUACUUACAGUGUCUAAUUGUAUCCUCCCCCAAAUCAUAGAAGCGCAGCAUUAUUAUCCCCAUUUUACCGGUAAGGAAGUUGAGACCCAGAGAGAAGUGACCUGCGCAAGGUCACAUCCUUAGAAGGUGGUAGAACUAGGAUUCAACCCAACUGUUUCCAUCGAAAUCCCACAAUCUUUAUAGCCCAGGCUUAGGACUUUAAAAAAUAAAAUCAUCUCCUGCCCCCUCUCAAAAUCCCUACGAACCUACCUACCCAGGCUGAUAAAUGGCUGUACCAUCUGACCAGCUGCUCAGACACAAGUUGGGAAUCUUGUUCUCACACCCAGUCCAUCCCUGCCAAACCCAGCUCCAGAAUUCCCUCACAGGCACCCAUCUCUCUCCAUUCCCAGUGCUGCCACCAUCUCUAGCCGGGGCCACACGGCCUCCCUGCUCUGCUCCUGCCACCACACGAUUCAGGCCCAGGUUCGUCUUUCCAGGAGGCAAAUUCCUGUCCUUGAGUCAUCAUCAGCUUCUGUUUGCUCUCAGACGCUGCUCAGCCCAGUCUCCCACCUGCAGGAGGGCCUCCCUCUUUGCUGAUGUGUGCAGUUGGUGAUCAGGCUGUUCCCUUCUGGCGGAAGGCUCCCCAGGCCAAGCACCCUCUGUCUGUCUCCUCAUCGCUCAAAACGGAUUGGUCCCGUUUCUUAAAAAGUUAUCAGUGGCUCUCUACUGCCUUCAAGAUCAAGUCCAACCUGGACCUGCAAGGCCCUCCUCCAUCCAGUCUUCCGCACAGGCCACUCCAGUCAGGCACAACUACUUGCAGCUCUGUGAAUGGACUGGACUCAAGCCCCCACAUCUCUCGGCCCAGACUGCUCCCUUUCAGCUUUCCUGCGCCUGGCUGCCUCCUCCGUACCCAUCAGCCCUGACCACCCCUCCCCAGUCUGCCGUCUCUCACUCCCCAGUACCUUUCUGCCCUCUGCGCCAGUGUCCACGUGUGCAGGUCACCGUGCUGUCUAAGGUGCUCUUUUCCCCCCAGGGCCCAGCACAGAGCCAGGCUUGAAAGCAGGAUGUUUUGCCGGGACUUCUUUGAUAUGGGGAAUUUUUCGGCACGGUCAUUUUAAUACAUCAAAAUUUUUUGUUUCUAGUAAUGAAUAAACUGACUCCCCACAACCUCCUCUGUUUGCUUAAGGUGGAGCUGGGAUGGGAUAAGGAGGCCUGUGGUAGAUUUUUUAAGUUUGUUUCAGGCCUUGUCACAAUAUCCCUGAGGUCACAAUGGCUGCAUCAGUCCAUCCUGUGCCCUUGCGGGGAGGAGGUACAACCAAGGACUGUUGACUGGAUGAAUGAAAUGUGACUUUGAUGCUGCGCCCCAUCAAGCGGGGGUUGCUACAUUGUUGGGGGGAGGGGGUCCCUCAAGCAUCUAGUGUGUCCCCCAGGACACAGGCAGCACUCACUCCUGAGGCCCAACAUGGAAGUCCCCCCAACUGCUCCUGCCUCCCCAGGCAUCUCCCAGCCCCGAAAGGGGGCUCUUCACCACUGACCAAAACUCUCUGUGAUAGCAUGGAUCCCGCAGAGUUGUGUGCAGGGUGCUGAGCUCCUCAGGGGAGGCUCCAUCUCAUUCAUGGUCAUGGCAAGGUGCCAAGUGCAGGCCUCACUUGGAAUCAGCAGCCAAGAGCUACUUGUCAAGCUGGAUUACAUGCAAGCCAGUCUCAAUUCUCAGAUUUACCCCCUUUCCCUACCUGUUCCCUUCUCCUCCCCGACCCCCUUCUCAGGGCCCCCUUACCAGGCCACCCGGGACAUGGCAUACGUGACUCGGCAUGUCUGGGCCCCCUCAAGGAGGGAACCCAUGCCCACAGUGUAGGCGCCCAUGUUCUCAAAGACCAGCCAGUCCCCUACGUGUAGUUGCGGCAGCCACAGGCCCUCAGCUAUGCAGUCACAGCCAUCGACCACGGGGCCCCACAGGCUGCUGCUGUACAGGGGCUGCUCCAUGGAUGAUUUCUGCAGGAGACAGGGAUAGUCACAUUGAGCGCAGCCUUAGCAUUCCUCCCUCAAAAGCUUUCCAUGGCUCCCAUAACCAGUUUAAUAAAGACUGGAUGGGCACGUAAGGCCCUCCAGCUUCUCUGCGCU
Molecule: long non-coding RNA, 2403 nt
Organism: Neofelis nebulosa (Clouded leopard)
Lineage: Eukaryota; Metazoa; Chordata; Mammalia; Carnivora; Felidae
Exons: 2
Source: RefSeq, a predicted model, not a curated record